This is a non-coding RNA of Salvia hispanica, 464 nucleotides long. NCBI's taxonomy places the organism in Eukaryota, Viridiplantae, Streptophyta, Magnoliopsida, Lamiales, Lamiaceae. The record is from RefSeq and is a predicted model, not a curated record.
AAAAUAAUGAAACCAAAGAUGGUUUAACUGAUGGAGCAAAGCUGCUUCACUCAAAUGAAGGAAAUCCCGAGAAGGCAACUGCCUCAGAAAGACCAAAAGUUGUGGCAUCUGUACCUGUUCAAAAUCAAGUAGCGGCUCAGAAACUUCUCCAGAAAACAAGUCAGCCUAGUUUUGGUGAUCGCAAUUCUAGAUUUCAGAGGCGUAGGGGAAAGGAUACAGAAGAUGACUCAUCUUUGCUCACCCUUGAUGAGUGGGAAAGGAGGAAAACAGGAGGCAAUCUUCAGACAACACAUGAGCACCACCACUACACUGAAGAUGAGGAGCUUGCAAGACAGCUGCAGGAGCAAUUUGAUUUGGAGGAAAACCAUGUACAAAAUGAUCCGAUAUGAUGGAUGCUAAAAGUAUAAAGAUAAGCAUGUUCAGUUUCGAAAGAGAUGAUGCUGGAGCUUCCAGUCGAACUGAAU